CCUACGGGCGGCAGCAGUGAGGAAUAUUGGUCAAUGGGCGAGAGCCUGAACCAGCCAAGUCGCGUGAAGGACGACGGUUCUAUGGAUUGUAAACUUCUUUUGUAGAGGAAUAAUUGCAGCUACGUGUAGCUGAAAUGCAUGUACUCUACGAAUAAGUAUCGGCUAACUCCGUGCCAGCAGCCGCGGUAAUACGGAGGAUACGAGCGUUAUCCGGAAUUAUUGGGUUUAAAGGGUGCGUAGGUGGCGUAUUAAGUCAGUGGUGAAAAGCUGCAGCUCAACUGUAGUCUUGCCGUUGAAACUGAUAUGCUAGAGAGGAGACGAGGUAUGCGGAAUGUGUGGUGUAGCGGUGAAAUGCAUAGAUAUCACACAGAACGCCGAUUGCGAAGGCAGCGUACCAGGCUCCGUCUGACACUGAAGCACGAAAGCGUGGGGAUCAAACAGGAUUAGAUACCCGGGUAGUC
Molecule: ribosomal RNA, 461 nt
Filed under: uncultured Porphyromonas sp.
Lineage: Bacteria; Pseudomonadati; Bacteroidota; Bacteroidia; Bacteroidales; Porphyromonadaceae
Description: bacterial SSU rRNA
Rfam family: Bacterial small subunit ribosomal RNA
Source: RNAcentral